CCUGCCGAUAAAGGCAUUGUGGGUUUGGCUGCUGUGUCACGCGUGUGUCAGUCGGCGGUAGAGAGAAGAGAGGCUGUGUCUAUGCUCAGUGUUCUGACCUGUGAAUAUCUGAAUGACUGGAAGUCUAACACU
Meriones unguiculatus (Mongolian gerbil) is the source of this 132-nucleotide small nucleolar RNA. Lineage: Eukaryota; Metazoa; Chordata; Mammalia; Rodentia; Muridae. The record is from Ensembl.